Molecule: ribosomal RNA, 231 nt
Filed under: uncultured bacterium
Lineage: Bacteria
Description: partial 16S ribosomal RNA
Rfam family: Bacterial small subunit ribosomal RNA
Source: RNAcentral
CGGGUGCGUAACGCGUAUGCAACCUACCUUUUACUGGGGCAUAGCCCCGAGAAAUCGGGAUUAAUACCCCAUAAUAUUCAUUAUUCGCAUGAAUGAUGGAUUAAAGCUUAGGCGGUAAAAGAUGGGCAUGCGUGACAUUAGCUAGUUGGUGAGGUAACAGCUCACCAAGGCUACGAUGUCUAGGGGUCCUGAGAGGGUUAUCCCCCACACUGGUACUGAGACACGGACCAG